GUCAACCAAUCCGGGUUACUGUAUAACUAAGGUGUAACAAAAUGUGUAACAAAACUUUUUUAAAUAAUACAGAAAUUAUGACUGUCGGUGUAAUUGUAAUUGUUUAAGAAAAAAACAUGUCAAGCAUGCAAAUAUUAUUUUUAAAAAAUAGUUUUAAUCACUUAAAAGUCAUGUGAUGUUACAUAUAUAGGACGGGUGUGUUCGAUGCGUAAAUUAAUUAACAAAACCCCGUCAUAUAACAUCCAACUUUGAAGUUGCGUCAAAAUGUCAAAUUUAGGUGUGCCACUUAGGGAAUGGUCUUAAACGAUUGACAAUUCAUUUUUCAAUUUUUGUAAUUUUUCCCAGAUUUUUUCUAUGUCGAGCAAAAAAAAGUAGCAGUUUAUAAGGAGACCCCCUAAAUGACGUAACAGCUUGACUUAUGGUCGUUUUAAAAACGAUUGCUUGCAAGUUGCAUUGUGAACAAUUGUACAAUAUGAAAAUUAAACAACGUGAAUGCAAAUAUUUAUAAUGACUUUACGGAAAGUAACUUUUGUGACAUCUUGACAACCGUAUACAAAGUUCGUUACACUUUUCUACCUUCUAAACACAAGAGGUCGAAUUCUUUUGUUCUAUUUAAACCGCAUAUCGGACUGGUAUU
RNAcentral lists this long non-coding RNA (637 nucleotides) under Mytilus galloprovincialis (Mediterranean mussel). The record is from RNAcentral. Lineage: Eukaryota; Metazoa; Mollusca; Bivalvia; Mytilida; Mytilidae.